GGCAACCCUGACGGAGCAACGCCGCGUGUGGGAGGACGGCCUUCGGGUUGUAAACCACUUUUCUCAGGGAAGAAGUCCUGACGGUACCUGAGGAAUCAGCCUCGGCUAACUCCGUGCCAGCAGCCGCGGUAAUACGGAGGAGGCAAGCGUUAUCCGGAAUUAUUGGGCGUAAAGCGUCCGCAGGGGGCGCAUCAAGUCUGCUGUUAAAGGUCGGAGCUAAACUCCGGUAGAGCAGUGGAAACUGGUGCGCUAGAGGGCGACAGGGGUAGAGGGAAUUCCCAGUGUAGCGGUGAAAUGCGUAGAGAUUGGGAAGAACACCGGUGGCGAAAGCGCUCUACUGGGUCGCACCUGACCCUCAGGGACGAAAGCUAAGGUAGCG
RNAcentral lists this ribosomal RNA (379 nucleotides) under uncultured cyanobacterium. Its description in RNAcentral is "bacterial SSU rRNA". It matches the Rfam family "Bacterial small subunit ribosomal RNA", at positions 376 to 770 of the family's 1533-position model. The record is from RNAcentral. Lineage: Bacteria; Bacillati; Cyanobacteriota.